GCAAUUUUCUAAGCCUGCGGAGCUCCUCAGGGCAGGAACCACGGCGUUCCUCCCACAUGUACUUGGCAUAAGGUGCAGCUUCAGAGCAGCAAGCCCAGCAGCAGGAGCCAAGGAUUCUUAACCAUUUGAAUUUAGGUACAUGUUGUCAUUCACUGUCUCAGAACGACAACUUAGUGACUAUGGAGAAAACGAUUCAAGUGCACCAAACCUCACCUGGAGGUGGGGGAGGGGUGGCAAGAGAAAAAUGAGCACUUCCUUUCUGAUUCCAACAUGGAAAAAGUGGGGAAAAUAGGGCUGGGCAGGGCUUGCAGAUCUCAGGCCGCUUACUGGGUGCGUAGUACACAGAUAAAUGUUAUUUCUGGCAACUGCUCCUCCAAUCUAUUUUUAAAGGCAUAAAUAUAAGGGGACCCACACUGUUCCUGUCUGGACCUCUCCCUGCCUGGAUCUCUCCACGCCUUUUUCAAAAUCAUCUUCUAGGAAACUUUGUAGCCAAAUUUUAGACUCCGACAUUGGUGGUGUUUGUAUCACAUUGCUCUCCGAAAAGGAAAAAAGAAACAAAAACCACUGACUCAACACUAUCAAAUGCCAAUCAGUUUCAAAACACACACGGACAAAAAUAUUAAUUUGCAUGAAGCUACAUAACACAUAAUCUUACUCUCACCUCUGAAAAUCAAAGUAGGUCAAAAAGUUCCUGCUGCCAGUAAGUGGAGUUGAUAAGUGUUUUUUAAAAGCUAAAAUAAUAAGCAGCUAAAGCAUAAUUCAGCACUGUUCAACUACAGCCCACCAAUGAAAUGCUGAGGAAACAACCCUGGGACCACACAACUACGUAAGCAGAUGAGCGCCUCACUACUUGCUGGGAGAGAUCCUUACUCACUUCAGUCUUGUAUCCCAAAACCCAUUCAAAUACUGACUUUGAUGAUUCUGCUGCCUUCAGAUUAUGCUGUCCUGCACUGCACUGUUGCAAGCAUAAGGAAUCAAUCUACCAAGGUGGAAAAAAUAUUUCCAAGAUACAAAAAUAUAAUGUUUGUUACUUCAAGAUACAGCAGUAUCUUAGUCUGUUAGUCUGGUUUUGAAGCCAAGAAUGUUAAUAUGUUGCUUGCUAUUUCCUACCACACUGAGUCAGUUCAUGGCUGUGUAUGCAUUCACAAAGUGUUUCAAAGCUGUUCUCCAUGCUUCUUAGUACGUGCUUUCUUGAGAUGAAACCUCUUUUUAAAGGGAAAUCUCUCAGAACACAACCGAGCACCUGACUCUGCACUGCUGCAAUCAGAUAGUUGCCUUAAUAUUUAC
RNAcentral lists this long non-coding RNA (1287 nucleotides) under Gallus gallus (chicken). RNAcentral describes it as "lncRNA (ENSGALG00010001944.1)". The record is from RNAcentral. Lineage: Eukaryota; Metazoa; Chordata; Aves; Galliformes; Phasianidae.